This is a long non-coding RNA of Helicoverpa armigera (cotton bollworm), 496 nucleotides long. RefSeq lists it as uncharacterized. NCBI's taxonomy places the organism in Eukaryota, Metazoa, Arthropoda, Insecta, Lepidoptera, Noctuidae. The transcript has 2 exons. The record is from RefSeq and is a predicted model, not a curated record.
UGAUCCCGUGGCAUAAAUCUAUGGUUGGGUUUACUAUAGGUACUCUUUUAUAAUUUCAGAUCGAAAAAAUCCCAUUUUAUUAAAAUAGUACACGUUAGCUCUGACAUAACUAUUUUAGGUAUGUUCAACCUUGUAUAACAAUUACUUAACUUGAUCCAAAUUAGGUACCUACCUAGUACCUUACAGUACGUACCGAAUUGUGAUUAACAACAUUUCAUUUUUUCAUUCCAAACAAACUAUUGACUUAAUUAUUUUCAGAACCAAGAUGUCUGCAACCCACGGACCCAGGAAUUUGUUAUGGACAUGUGCCUAAGUAUGCCUACAACAACGAGGCUGAAAGAUGUGAACAGUUUAUCUACGGCGGUUGUAUGGGAAAUGACAACCGUUUCGAUACCUUAGAAGCUUGUCAAGCGGCUUGCUAGAUAGAAGAUAACUUUUAUUUGAUACAUCGUCGCAUAUAGGUACAUAUACAAAUAAAAAUGAAAUAAAAUUUUCA